CUAUUGUUAAUCUCAUUACUUUUUAGUAUUCCCCAUUCCUCCCAUUUUGGAAUCUGUUAUCUGUAAAAAUACUACAAAAAGAUAUUAAAUCGAUGCGAAAUUGAUGCACACCAAUCCUUAACUCAUAAGCCUAAAUAUAUUUCACAAUUAUACAAAUUACGCACUUUUGAAAGAAACUAUUUGUUGAAGCAUAUAUAGAUUGUAGCAAUCAAGAAGAAGAAAGAAAAUUGCCCAUUUAAUUACAAGAAAAUAAUAAAAUUCAUUUGAUGGAUGCCAUAGUAUAAUUAUAAACAACAAAACUCAUUUAAUGGGUGCCAUAGCUUAAAAGCCCUUGCAGAUUCUUUAUUUAUCAUUACUGCUUCUUCUAUUUGUAAAUACUGUUAAUUUAUGUCAGCUCAUUCCUCAGUUAUUAAUUUUGUAUAGUUUAAGGAAUUGAAUUCUCUGCCUCGCAAAUGUCAUCAUCAAACUUCAAUAGCGUCUGUAGGGGUUUAUAAUGGGUUUAAGUGUCUAAUCAUUUAAAAUAUAUUCGAUAAAUAUAAAUAUAUUUAAGCCUUAAUACUUACGAACAUAAACUUUAAUCUCCAUAAGCGUAAUGACGUCCUUUGUUUUAAUAUAAAACAAAUAUAACAAAUAAAACAAUAUCAAUUCAUGUUUCGAAAGCUUUGUAAAUUUAUCAACAUUUUGUUUCUAAAUUUAAUUACGGAACAAUUUGGGACUCAAAAUUUAAUAGUAAUAAUAAAUUUUAAAAAUGCAUUUAUUUAAUAUUCACAUUAUUUGGCCAACAUAAUUUUAAAGAUUAUUAAAGAGCAUAUAAAACUCGGUAUUUAAUGACUUGCAGUUGUUAUAUGAAAAAUUGAUAGACCGCUUUUGUAAGCGGACUAUCUCAUAGUGUCUAUACGCGCUUUUCGUAAGAAAGAAUCAAUUUUGUGAAACAAAUAGUAUUAUCUGGAUAAUUUUGUGCAAACCAUUUGAACAACAGUGACUAGAGCUAUGGACUAUCAACAGAUACUAUACUUCAGCGUUGGCCAAUCAAAGGAUGCUCAUAUAGGGUCAAUUACAGUACGGUGUUCUUCGAAAAUAUGAUAUAUUUUCUGGGUGAUAUCAGAAAGUGACCCACAACAAGAUGUGACAACAGAAAAACAACUACUCUGCUCUUUUUUGAGUCCUGUUUAAUGUAAACUAUUCCUGUUAAACCAUUGAAUAAACGUAAAAAAUAACAAAUAGUAUUAAUAUUAUUAUUGAGAAAUCAUGUGAUUAAAAAACUGUUGGGUAGAUUUAACUUUCAUGUACAUACUUUAAAGCGUAGUUCUCAAAAGCUUCUUAAUUUGCCUUCGAGAUUUGCUAAUAAUAUUUUAUGUCCACUUUUAGAACAAGUUUCUUUGACACCCUGGUGUUUUUUCGCUUUCGGUCUAGGAAUUAUCGCAAAUAACUCAUUAAUACAUUUAAGAUCAAAAUCAGCUUUUUUUUACUUAAUGAGGAGAUUGUUUCGAUUUUCUAUUAUUGUUUUGAACCUUUUUAUGACACCUAUACUUCUUUUCA
Long non-coding RNA from Drosophila nasuta, 1539 nucleotides. RefSeq lists it as uncharacterized. NCBI's taxonomy places the organism in Eukaryota, Metazoa, Arthropoda, Insecta, Diptera, Drosophilidae. The transcript is spliced from 3 exons. The record is from RefSeq and is a predicted model, not a curated record.